Molecule: long non-coding RNA, 1440 nt
Organism: Populus trichocarpa (black cottonwood)
Lineage: Eukaryota; Viridiplantae; Streptophyta; Magnoliopsida; Malpighiales; Salicaceae
Exons: 2
Source: RefSeq, a predicted model, not a curated record
UUCCACUCGCUUCUUCUUCUCUGUUGCCUGGGUUUUGGUGUGGCUGUGUGGUUUUCCAUCAUGCCCUUCUUUCUUCUCCCUUCGUUAACCAGCUGGCCUGGUCUUUGGGUUUUAUGACCUUAAAUGCACUGUCUAUGCAUCUCCUCUUCGUUGGCUCUACGAUCUCUAGGGUUUUGCAUUUUUUUUGCUGGUAAGCUCGUUUGGGACUGUCUAAACCAAAGAUUUGACAGAUUCUUCGCCAUCUUUGCUUUCACCCAGCCCUCUUUCUAUCUGCUUUCGGUCGUUCACAGCCGGGGUCCAACCAGAUAAGUGAAUUUGAACUGUUUAUAGUUUGUUUUGCAAUGAUUAAACUACUUCAGUGGCUGUCUUCUCAUGAAAUUGCUUGUCGCGUUAUCUGCGUUACUGAGUUGAGGCCGGGUUCUUUAUCAUUUCUUUUUCACUUCAGUUGUCUCUUCAAAGUGCUCUGGGUUCUUCAACUUGUUGCUUGGUAUUUGUUUUCCAACUGAUUUGUGUAUUCGAUGGCUUUUGUUUGUUGCGUUUUACUGUGUUUUGUAGGACCAAAUUCUCUUUUUAUUUUGCUUUGUCUAUUUGUUAGGUUUCGCUUCCAUUCAGGUGCGCUUUCACCCUGCUUUGAUCACCUCUUAGACCUGUUCCUUAUUUGUUUCUUUCAAUUUUAGAGCUGAUUCAAGUUUCUUUCCUCUCCUUUCUGAAUCUGAACUUAAACUUUCUUGAGUGGUGUCUUUUACCCUGUUGUUAGAUGUUUUAGCCGGUUGAACCAGACCUUGGCAGUGUAUGGGAUUGUUUCCAGUUGCUAUAGGUUAAUAUAUGUGCCUUUUUUGUGCACAAUUCAUUUCACGAUUGGUUAUUGAUUUUGAAUUUCAUUUGGUCAUUGAUGAUUUUGCAGGAAAAUUUAUUCUGGUAGGGUUCAGAUAUCCAUUUUUUUUAUGUCAUGGCAGAUGCUGAGGUUGAAAGACAGGUGAAAGUACUUAUAUCUGUAUAUAUUGAUGUAUGUUUACAAGUGAGCUAGAAGAAAUAUUAGAGAUGAUUGUUAUGGAUGAGCUUCUAAAGAUCACAGUCCCACAAUUUCAGCAAAUAAGAUGCUGCCUCAAUAGCUCCCAUUCUCAGAUUCAGUGCAAAUAUUCCAUCCCAGUUGAAGAAGUUGAUUGGCACAAGGCAAAUUAAUUUAUCAGCCAAGAUUGAAAGAAAAGAACCUGAAGGAUGGCCGAGCUGGACUGUCAAAAAAACAUUUGACAUGAAUUCCAUCUUGGAAAGGAAAGAUGCUUGCUCGCCAAGACCUGUUAGCAUGAAAUUAUCUUAUCUGUAUCUAAAUAAAUAGGUCAUGAUAAUUCUUGAAUCUCGAAAACGAAUAAUUUUAUUGUGACUGUUGCGAACAUCAUAGUCAAUAAUGAUGUCAAUCUCGAAACUCUAUUUUAUUUUUUA